RNAcentral lists this ribosomal RNA (1654 nucleotides) under Escherichia coli. RNAcentral's name for it is "partial 23S ribosomal RNA". It matches the Rfam family "Bacterial large subunit ribosomal RNA", at positions 1291 to 2925 of the family's 2925-position model. Lineage: Bacteria; Pseudomonadati; Pseudomonadota; Gammaproteobacteria; Enterobacterales; Enterobacteriaceae. The record is from RNAcentral.
CGAAUGCUGACAUAAGUAACGAUAAAGCGGGUGAAAAGCCCGCUCGCCGGAAGACCAAGGGUUCCUGUCCAACGUUAAUCGGGGCAGGGUGAGUCGACCCCUAAGGCGAGGCCGAAAGGCGUAGUCGAUGGGAAACAGGUUAAUAUUCCUGUACUUGGUGUUACUGCGAAGGGGGGACGGAGAAGGCUAUGUUGGCCGGGCGACGGUUGUCCCGGUUUAAGCGUGUAGGCUGGUUUUCCAGGCAAAUCCGGAAAAUCAAGGCUGAGGCGUGAUGACGAGGCACUACGGUGCUGAAGCAACAAAUGCCCUGCUUCCAGGAAAAGCCUCUAAGCAUCAGGUAACAUCAAAUCGUACCCCAAACCGACACAGGUGGUCAGGUAGAGAAUACCAAGGCGCUUGAGAGAACUCGGGUGAAGGAACUAGGCAAAAUGGUGCCGUAACUUCGGGAGAAGGCACGCUGAUAUGUAGGUGAAGUCCCUCGCGGAUGGAGCUGAAAUCAGUCGAAGAUACCAGCUGGCUGCAACUGUUUAUUAAAAACACAGCACUGUGCAAACACGAAAGUGGACGUAUACGGUGUGACGCCUGCCCGGUGCCGGAAGGUUAAUUGAUGGGGUCAGCGCAAGCGAAGCUCUUGAUCGAAGCCCCGGUAAACGGCGGCCGUAACUAUAACGGUCCUAAGGUAGCGAAAUUCCUUGUCGGGUAAGUUCCGACCUGCACGAAUGGCGUAAUGAUGGCCAGGCUGUCUCCACCCGAGACUCAGUGAAAUUGAACUCGCUGUGAAGAUGCAGUGUACCCGCGGCAAGACGGAAAGACCCCGUGAACCUUUACUAUAGCUUGACACUGAACAUUGAGCCUUGAUGUGUAGGAUAGGUGGGAGGCUUUGAAGUGUGGACGCCAGUCUGCAUGGAGCCGACCUUGAAAUACCACCCUUUAAUGUUUGAUGUUCUAACGUUGACCCGUGAUCCGGGUUGCGGACAGUGUCUGGUGGGUAGUUUGACUGGGGCGGUCUCCUCCUAAAGAGUAACGGAGGAGCACGAAGGUUGGCUAAUCCUGGUCGGACAUCAGGAGGUUAGUGCAAUGGCAUAAGCCAGCUUGACUGCGAGCGUGACGGCGCGAGCAGGUGCGAAAGCAGGUCAUAGUGAUCCGGUGGUUCUGAAUGGAAGGGCCAUCGCUCAACGGAUAAAAGGUACUCCGGGGAUAACAGGCUGAUACCGCCCAAGAGUUCAUAUCGACGGCGGUGUUUGGCACCUCGAUGUCGGCUCAUCACAUCCUGGGGCUGAAGUAGGUCCCAAGGGUAUGGCUGUUCGCCAUUUAAAGUGGUACGCGAGCUGGGUUUAGAACGUCGUGAGACAGUUCGGUCCCUAUCUGCCGUGGGCGCUGGAGAACUGAGGGGGGCUGCUCCUAGUACGAGAGGACCGGAGUGGACGCAUCACUGGUGUUCGGGUUGUCAUGCCAAUGGCACUGCCCGGUAGCUAAAUGCGGAAGAGAUAAGUGCUGAAAGCAUCUAAGCACGAAACUUGCCCCGAGAUGAGUUCUCCCUGACUCCUUGAGAGUCCUGAAGGAACGUUGAAGACGACGACGUUGAUAGGCCGGGUGUGUAAGCGCAGCGAUGCGUUGAGCUAACCGGUACUAAUGAACCGUGAGGCUUAACCUU